GACGAACGCUGGCGGCGCGCUUAACACAUGCAAGUCGAGCGAGAACCGGUUCUUCGGAACCGGGGAGAGCGGCGAACGGGUGAGUAACACGUGAGUAAUCCACCCUCGGCACUGGGGUAGCCCGGGAAACCCGGAUUAAUACCGGAUGGCCCAGCAGCGCUCUUCGGGGCGGCUGGAAAAGGUAGCUUUGGCCUCCGGCCGAGGACGAGCUCGCGGCGGAUUAGCUUGUUGGUGGGGUAAUGGCCUACCAAGGCGACGAUCCGUAGCUGGUCUGAGAGGACGAUCAGCCACACUGGGACUGAGACACGGCCCAGACUCCUACGGGAGGCAGCAGUGGGGAAUCUUGCACAAUGGGCGAAAGCCUGAUCGAGCGACGCCGCGUGCGGGAUG
RNAcentral lists this ribosomal RNA (390 nucleotides) under uncultured bacterium. RNAcentral's name for it is "bacterial SSU rRNA". It matches the Rfam family "Bacterial small subunit ribosomal RNA", at positions 28 to 410 of the family's 1533-position model. The record is from RNAcentral.